This 503-nucleotide ribosomal RNA is filed under the name uncultured bacterium. RNAcentral describes it as "partial 16S ribosomal RNA". It matches the Rfam family "Bacterial small subunit ribosomal RNA", at positions 30 to 523 of the family's 1533-position model. The record is from RNAcentral.
AUUGAACGCUGGCGGCAGGCUUAACACAUGCAAGUCGAGCGGGGUGAUGGUGCUUGCACUAUCACUUAGCGGCGGACGGGUGAGUAAUGCUUAGGAAUCUGCCUAUUAGUGGGGGACAACAUCUCGAAAGGGAUGCUAAUACCGCAUACGUCCUACGGGAGAAAGCAGGGGAUCACUUGUGACCUUGCGCUAAUAGAUGAGCCUAAGUCGGAUUAGCUAGUUGGUGGGGUAAAGGCCUACCAAGGCGACGAUCUGUAGCGGGUCUGAGAGGAUGAUACGCCACAAUGGGGCUGAGACACGGCCCAGACUCCUACGGGAGGCAGCAGUGGGGAAUAUUGGACAAUGGGGGGAACCCUGAUCCAGCCAUGCCGCGUGUGUGAAGAAGGCCUUAUGGUUGUAAAGCACUUUAAGCGAGGAGGAGGCUACUGAGACUAAUACUCUUGGAUAGUGGACGUUACUCGCAGAAUAAGCACCGGCUAACUCUGUGCCAGCAGCCGCGGUAA